GCAAGUCGAACGAGAAAGGGAUUGCUUGCAAUCCUGAGUAGAGUGGCGCACGGGUGAGUAACACGUAGAUAAUCUACCUUCAAGCCCGGGAUAACUAUUCGAAAGGAUGGCUAAUACCGGAUGAAGUGGGUACACACAAGUGUAUUCAUGAAAGAUUGCCUCUUCAUGAAAGCAAUUGUUUGGAGAUGAGUUUGCGGACCAUUAGUUUGUUGGUGGGGUAAAGGCCUACCAAGACUGCGAUCUAUAGCUGGUUUGAGAGGAUGAUC
Molecule: ribosomal RNA, 266 nt
Filed under: uncultured bacterium
Lineage: Bacteria
Description: partial 16S ribosomal RNA
Rfam family: Bacterial small subunit ribosomal RNA
Source: RNAcentral